GCCCAGCUAAGUGUUUUUAGUAGAGACAGGUUUCACCACAUUGGCCAGGAUGAUCUCAAUCUCUUGACUUUGUGAUCCGCCCUCUUCGGCCUCCCAAAGUGCUGGGAUUACAGGAUUACGUUCUUAAUAAACUUGCUUUCACUUGAUCUAUGGACUUUCCCUGAAUUCUUUCUUGCAAGAGAUCCUACAACCCUCUGUUGGGGUCUGGAUCAGGACUCCUUCCUGGUAACAUAAGUCAGGGGUUUUAGGAAAGAAUACAUUCUUGCCUUCCUUGCCAGCUGUUCAUCCAGGAACCACUCAAUUGUAUUUGGCUGAUUUACACUGACCCAACCUCUGCCCUCCUGAGCCCUGCAGAUUGCUUCAGGAAGCGUCAGUGCAGAAGGUUAUUUUUUGUAUUUAAUUUUUAAAUUCUUUCUAAGACUAAUCAAGCACAGAAGUGAUAAGGGGAGAAAAAGCAGAGUAAGGAGUUCAACUGGUAGCUAACUGUGAAUAUCAACUGAGAUAACUCACUACCUUCAGAGCAGCCCAGAAUGUUAAUUGUAUAUUUAAAGAAGAUAUGGAUAUUUCAAUAUAAAAAUCUCAAUGGGCAUGCAUGGGUGGUUCCUUCACAAGUUUGGGUUUUUUGCCUCUUAUUCACACAAGCUCAAUUGCUAAUUCACAUUGCCAACCUCAGCAGGGCAGCAGAUGUGUGUGCAGCCACACUGUGUGUUUGCGACACUCACGUACUGUUUUCAAGGUUACAGAAAUGCCGAGUGGACGAAUGGGUGGGGGAAGGGGGUGCUGGCCUGUAAGAUGAAGAUUCUCUACAGAGACUCUACUUACCCCGAAAGCAUCUCGAAUAUCAGGAUGCCGAGGGCCCACCAGUCCACGGCCCUUCCGUGGCCCUUGCUCUGAAUGACUUCGGGGGCUAGGUACUCGGGUGUUCCACAGAGGGUCCAAGUCCUAUAUGGGCGACAGAGACAGGCCCCCACAACACUCAGUGGUGCUUGGCUAAUGCAGUCACCUUAGAAGCUCUGAUUGUUACAAUAACUUCGUUGAGUAAAACCACGCUCCCUUUACCGUCUGUGCACAUAUUUUACUGUGUAAAGACAGUAACAUUGUUUUCACUGAUUCCUUUCCAUAGAAACAUUUCUUAUCGGGCUUGGAAACUAAGAAUUGGUUUUACCAUCCUUGCUACUGUUGCUGGUACUGUUACCACUGUUACUCAGAAGCAAAAAGACUCAGACUUUUUUGAGUUAUUUUUACCUGUCUUAGUAUAAAUCAUAAUGAAUAAAAUUAAUUAAAGGAAAAACAACGAGAUCAUGUCCUCUGCAGCAGCAUGGAUGGAGGUGGAGAGGCCAUUCCCCUAAGUGGACUCACAUCACGCACCAAAUACCACAUGUUCUCACUUAUAUGUGGGAGCUAAACACUGGCUAUACGCUGACAUGGAGAGGGGGAAAAACAGAUACCUGGGCCUGCCUGAAGAUGGAGGGUGGGAGGAGGAUGAGGAUGGGAAAUCUACGUGUCAGGUAUGAUGUGUAUUACCUGGGUGGCAAAAUAAUUCGUAAACCAAGUGGCAUGCAGUUUACCCAUAUAACAAACCUGCACAUGUACCUCUGAACCUAAAACGAAAGUUCUUAAAGUAAAUAUAUGAAUAAGUAAAUAAAAUUAAAUUUUAAAAAAUCCUUUAUCCUUCAAACAAACAAACAAAAAAGUGUCACUGAAAAGAAUAAUUCAAGAACUCAGUUAGGCCAGCUCAGUAGCUCAUGCCUGUAGUCCCAGCACUUUGGCAGGCCAAGGCAGGUGGAUCACCAGGCGUUCAACACCAGCCUGGCCAAUAUAGCGAAACCUCAUCUCUACUAAACAUACAAAAUUAGCUGGGUGUGGUGAUGCAUGUCUGUAAUCCCACCUACUUGGGAGGCUGAGGCAGGAGAAUCAGUUGAACCUGGGAGGCAGACGUUGCAGUAAGCCAAGAUCACACCACUGCACUCCAGCCUGAGCGACACAGUGAGACUCUCCCCACCCCCAAAAAAAGUGCAAGAGCAGAGUCCUUACUUGUAAUUGAGACUGGAUGGUCAGCAGAGCUUAUGUAUGUGUUCUUUCACUCUCUACCCUCUGCAAAAAAAAAAACAUUUCUUGCCCCCGGAAACCAGUGUAAAGACGGAAAUACACUUCCUCCCCUGCAUGCCAUUUUAAAAGUGCCUGCUUUGUGCUCCGAAAACAAAGGGGUGGCCUCAAGCAGGAAGCCAGUACUUCUUACCCUAAGAAAGCUCUGGAAUAAAAACUCACUUUCUUUACACUAGACCUUGCUCUUGCUAAUUGCACUCUGCAAAUGGCAAGGGGCUGAACCUGUGUUUUGGUUACAGAAGCAACUGCUAAACAAAGUCAGGGCAAUGUAACAAUGACUGUAGCAGAAGCUGGAAGACUCAUGGGCUGGAAAGGAGCUGAGUAUCAGUAACCUCAAAGAGGGGGCUGUGUCUAGGCCAUACUCCAUUGGCACUCUACUGCUGGGUAGAAUGUCGCUUCGGGCUUUCAGCAAUUCAGACCCAUAGCACACCUGCAGGCCACAUCCACCCUUCCUGACACAUGCUUCCUAGCCUGGUGUGUGGGGCCCGUCUGUAGACAGGCAGAAAGAAGCAACACCCUUGGAGGGGAAAAAAAUAUACAUGCUUUGCAAAGGCCCUUCUUUUUUAUAAUAUAUUUAUACAUAUGUAAUUUUUUUUUUUACAUUUUAAAAAAUAUAUACUUACAUAUUUUUUUGAAUGUAAAGAGAACAAAAAGCAAGUUCCAUAGAGCCUGGUAAUGUACAUGUUUAUCCACUCUCGAGUUCUUUGCACAAUGUUUCAAGCAUAUGCAAAGCCUAUUUUAUUCCCAGCACAUCUUACCUGAGUCUGCCCUGUUUGCGGUGGUGUGGGCACGUAUCUUGGCUUCAGCUCCUCACCUUCCUGCUUGCAGGAACCCACCCAAAUUGUUGUUACUGUUAUCUUUCCUUCGCUUCUCCACCACAUCUCCAUACCCACCUCUUUUCCGACAAGAGACUUUUCCACAUUAAUCUGUAAGCCCUUGGGAUAACAACAAACUGGCUGCCAUCCAAAUUUCAAAUUCUGUCGGCCAUCCAUGAAAUAAAAGUACCACAAGGCCAAGCAUGGUGAUUCACACCUGUAAUCUCAAUACUUUGGGAGGCUAAGGCAAGAGGAUUGCUUGAGGCUAGGAGCCUCAGACUAGCUUGGACAACAUAGCAAGACCUCUUCUUUACCAAAAAAAAGACCAAGAACGGUGUCAUGCCUGUCAUCCCAGCACUUGGGGGGGCAGAGGCAGGUAGAUCACCUGAGGUCAGGAGUUUGAGACCAGCCUGGCCAACAUGGUGAAACGCUGUCUCUACUAAAAAUACAAAAAUUAGCAAGGCAUGGUGGUGAGCGCCUGUAAUCUCAACUACUUGGGAGGGUGAGGCAGGAGAAUCACUUGAACCCAGGAGGUGGGGGUUGCAGGGAGCCAAAAUUGCACCACUGCACUCCAGCCUGGGUGACAAGAGCGAAAUGCCAUUUCAAAAAAAAAAGCCAGGCAUGCUAACAGGUGUUUGUAGUGUCAGCUAGUUGAGAUGGGAGGAUCACUUGAGCCCAGGAGUUCAAGGCUACAGGGAGCAUGAUAGUACUACUGCACUACAGCCUGGAUAAGAGAGCAAGACCCUGUCUCAAGGGAAAAAAAAGGAAAAGAAAAAAAGUACUGCAGGCUCUGGGAGAUACAAGUCAGGAAAGAAAGAAACAAGACAAGGAGAGAAAUUAAGUUACCUUCCCAUGGAGGAAUGUGGGAAGGGGCUUACUUUAUCUGCAUGCUAGAUCUAAGCAUGGAACAAGGAUCCCCUUGUGGUCCUAUUAAGUGCUUCUCAUUCAUUAGACUUAAGUCUACAAAAGGAAAGUACAAUGCACAUUAUUUUAGAAACAUCCUCUCCCCUGCCCCUCCCAGCGGAAUCAACUCCAAGUACACCCUAGUUGAUUCAAUGCAUAACAUUUCUGUUACUCUGCAAGACGACUGACUUAUUGGCCUACUAAUUUUGUAUUUUCACCUUGCUAGCCCAUCCAAAAUGGCCUGAAAGUAGCUAAAAGCAUAGAACUUAGCUGAUAUGAACCCAAAGUAGAAGUGGCCGCAAGUCACCCUAUAGGCAUUUAGUUGCAACUUCCACUUACCUUUAAAAAGAUGAGGCUCUUUUUGGCUCCAUGUUAGGGUAAGGACACACACCUAAGGUUGUAUAAGUAUCCAGGUUCUAACUUGCCUCAGGAGGACUCCUGCCCUGUUAGAAUCAAUCCUUCCUGCAAAAAGCCCCAAUGCCUAGCUGAAAGUACAGAGAGACAUGCGCUGCUAUGGAGAGAUGCUGACUGCGUGAAUGAAUAUGAGAUGAGACAGCCUGAGUGCUAUGUGGAGACCACUGGUCGGGGCAGUGAAUUAUCCACUUCCCUGCUCCUAUCUCCUUUUGCUCACCUGGCUUUUGGGUAGAAGGAAGGUGACACCUGCUGUUCUCAGUUUUCUCACUGUUCUUAGUUUCACUAUGGCCGGCGGGAGGGGAAGGAGGAGGCCAUGUUAACGAAGGAGAAACAGAGCUAAGGAUAGGAUUAUCUAUGAAGUAUAGAUAUCCAAUGACUCCUGUGUUCUUAAUGCCCAUGCCUUCCGUCACACCUGCACUGGCUGAACUGUGCACUCCCCAAAGUCCUAAACCCCAGUAUUUGUGAGUGGGACCUUAUGUGCAAACAGGAUCUUCGUAGCUGCAAUCAAGUUAAGAUGAGAUCAUCCUGGCUUAGGAUGGGGAAUAAUUGCUUAACAGAUACAAGUUCUCUUUUGGGAUCAUGAAAAUGUUCUGGAACUAGACAGAGGUGAUGGUUGUACAACAUGGUAAAUGCAAUAAAUGCCAUGAGAUUGUGCAACUUAAGAUGGUUCAAAUGGGCUGGGUACAAUGGCUCAUGCCUAUAAUCUCAAUGCUUUGGAAGGCCAAGGUAGGAUAACUUGAGCCUCAGAGUUCCAGACCAGCCUAGGCAACAUAGCAAGACCCUGUCUGUACAAAAAUAUUUAAAAAUUAGCCAGGCAUAGUGGCUCACACCUCUAGUCCCAGGUACUCAGGAGGCUGAGGCAACAGGAUUGUUUCAGCCCAGGAGUUGGAGGCUGCAGUGAGCCAUGAUUGCACCACUGCAUUCCAGCCUGGCUGACAGAGCAAGACCCUGUUUCAAAAAAUAUAAAAAUGUAAAUAAAUAAAGAUGGUUACUAUGGUACAUUUUAAGGGUAUUUUACCACAAUAAAAAGAGAAAAAGAGAGAGAAAUGGAUGACAUCUCCCAGUUCAGUUUCAGUCCAGUCCCUCUUACGUCCUAGCAGGUGGCGUCACCAGCCUCACUUUCUGUCUCUCCUCAUGGCUUUACGACAUGGUAAGCAUGUCACUCAGCUAACAGGGGCACAGUGGGGCUCAUGAAGAAUAUGGACAGCUGAUGACAGCUUUUACUCUUGAUUACAGAAACGAAUGGAUUUUUUUCCUUUUUAUCAGAAAAGUAUGAGAGUGUUUUCUCUACAUUUGGUAAUGCAGGAAAUAGAUGUUAGCUCAGUACUCAUGAUGAAAAUACUACACGCCUUUUCUUAUAGGAUCUUGGGUUACAAUCAAGAAGCAGGGUGUGGGGGUUUCUCAGAAAAAGGAAAGUUUUUCAUCGUUGUUUUUCUACAGGGACACAAUCACAGUUCCUAGAACUGUCUGAUGGGAACAAACAGUUGAGAAUUUCAGGACUGUCAAGGGAGAAGGUACAUGUCCGCAAGCAUGGGACAGCUUCCGAUGGCCAGCCCAGGCCCUGGGAGGGGUUUCCUAGGCGACUAUGGUUCCGAAACACCACUGACCAGCAGGGAGAAGGGUGCCUGUCACCAACCUCGGCACAGUAAUACCCACCUCCUAGUAUGAAUUAUAGCAAAAUUAAACAGGGCUGAAGGGAAAGUAACAACACUGACUGCAAACAGACUCGACAUCUCAGGCCCUCCUUGGCUUCCAUUAAAUACUCAAAAGUAAGAAGCUAAGGGAAAACGUCCAAAGUAAGUAGAAAGACUUUUCUGAUGUUAUGAAAUAUAUAUAAAAUAAUUAUGUAUUUAUAAAUGUAUACAUUUAAAUUUGAACAUAUAAUCUAAACAAUAAAUGUGUAACACAUACUAAUAUAUAAAUUUAAAUUUAAAAAAUUAUAAAUAUACAUUUAUAAAAUUAUAUAUAGAAAACUAUGGAUACUGUAUAAUUAUAGCUACAUAUAACUUUCUAAAUAUAUAUUUAUAUCACAAUUUAUGAGCAUAUAAAAGUAUUUAGUAGUUUAAUUACAUAUGUAACAUUUAAUUAAAUAUAAAGUAUCAGUUUAUUAUAUAAUUAUAUUAAAUAUAUAUUUUUAAAAUAUAAUUAUGUUUAAAAAUUACAUUGUAUUUGUUUCAAAUAUAAUCGGAAUAUAUUAUAUUAAUACAUUAUGUUAUCUUAAUUAACACAUUACAUUAAUAUAUUUAUAUAUUAAAUUUACAUAUGAAUAUAUUUAAAUAUUUAACAUAUUAAAGAGAUAAAUAUAUUUAAAUAUAUAAAUUUAAUACAGGAUAUAUUAUUUAUGUCUAAUUAAAUAUUACAAUUAUGUAUACAGUUAUUUGGUAAAAUACAUCUAUCAUAAAAUUUUCCAUUUUAAUCAUUUUUAAGUGUAUGGUUCAGUGGCGGGAAGCCUAUCAACCUUGUUGUGCAACCCUCUCUACCAUCCAUUGGUGGAACUUCAUCAUUCCAAACAGAAACUCCCUCCUCAUUAAACAGUAUCUCCCCCUUCCCUGCACCUCCCCAGCCCCUGGCACCCACCAUCUACCUUCUGUCCCUAUGACUUAGAAGAAUCUAGGGCCCCUUUUUUGUCUAGCUUAUUUCAUCCCACAUCAUGUUUUGAAGGUUUACCAAUGUGGAGUAGAAUGUGUCAGAACUAUAUUCCUUUUCAUGGUCAAAUAAUACUCCACUGCAAAAAGUUCCUGGUCAAUUUAAAGUUCCUGGCUCAGGAGUGGGCAAAUAUUCUCUCUAAGGAGCCAGAUGGCAAAUACUUUAGGCUUUGUAGAUCACAUGGUCUCUGUUAGAAAUAUCCCCCAAGAUGUGCCUGUGUUCCAAUAAAACUUUAUUAACAGACAUACAGCAGGGUGGAUUUAACCUAUGGAAGGCUAAUUUUUUUGUUUCUGAUGUUUUGCAGAGAUGAGGUCUUGCUAUGUUGCCCAGGCUAGAUUUUUUUCCUAAAAAAAUUAGUUUGGUCAGAUGUGAUAAUGCAUUGAAUUUCUUUUUUAAAGGGAGAUAUCUAUUAGAGAUAGGAUGGAGUGCAUCUGCUUUAAAAUAACUCAACAAACAAAUGGGCAAAGAGAAAGAAACCAACAAAGUGGCAAAGCUUUGAUAACAAUCGAAACUGGGUGAUGGGACCACAAGGUUUCAAUAUGAACUACUCUCUAUUCCUGUGUGUGUUUGAAAGGAUUAAGUAGAAAUUUUGAAAGAUUAGGUUCAAUAUUACCCCUAGAUGCUAGAAAUAAAAACCCAGAGGACAGUAAUCAAUGUAACAUCUGGACUUAAAAUGCUACAACAGAAGAACUAGGAAAGAGCUGUUGCACCCAAUGCAGUGGCUCACGGAUACCAUCCUGGCACUUUGGGAAGCCAAGGUGGGAGGAUCACUUGAGGCCAGGAGUUCAAGACUAUCCUGGUCAAUACAGUGAAACCCUGUCUCAAAAGAAACACAAAAACACACACAAAAAAAACAAAAAAUUGUUGUAGAGAAAUAAAAAACACCAAAAACAAACAAACAAAAAAGAACUGUUGGAGAGAAAGAAAUCAUCUGUUAUAGUUUAAAGACAGGUGUAUACAAGUUGAGCAUCUUUAAUCCAAAUCUGAAAUCUGAAAUGCUCCAAAAGUCAAUACUUUUCCAGCACUGACAUGAUGCUCACAGCUCAAAGGAAAUGCUCACUGGAGCACUGGAUUUCAAAUUUUCGAAUUAGGGAUGCUCACAGGUAAAGGUAAUUCAAAUAUUCCAAAAUCUGAAAAAACCCAAAACCCAAAACAAUUCUGGUCUCAAGUAUUUCAAAUAAGGGAUGCUUGUGUUAUGCAUUUGACUUAGAAAAUCAUAUUAAAUGCAUCAGUAUUUUAUUUUGACCAUUUCAUAAAACCAGAAAUAAUUCUAGUUUGCCAUCAAGUCUUUUAGGGGAGCUAUCCAGAUAAUAUAUAAUAAAGUGUGUGUACAAAAUAUUUAAAAUACAAACAUAAGAAAUACUGCUGUUAGAAAACAAGAGCCUGACGAAAGCAAGCCACAAAAGAAAAAGAAAACCAUCUCAACAUAUUGACAACCUAGGAAAGCCAAAUACCAAGUCACCAUGAGCAGUGGUUUAAAAUAAGUAUUAUACGAGUCAUUCAGUUAACAGGAUAAAGAAAGAAAAGAGAGGAAGAGGGAGAGUAGAGGAAAAGAGAAGAGAGAAAAGAAAUAAAAAAAAAAAGGAACAGGGGGAAGGGGAGUAGAGGAGAUGGGCAGGGAGGGGAGGGGAGGGGUGGAAGGGAGGGGAGGGGUGGAAGAGAGGGGAGGGGAGGGGCACUGCGCCUCCCACCUGUCAUCGCAAAACUUUGGGAGGCCAAGGCGGGAGGACUGCUUCAGCUUAGGAGUUAGAGACCAGCCCUGGCAACAUAGUGAAACCCCAUCUCCAUAAAAAAUUAAAAAAUUAGCCAGGCACGGUGGUACAGGCUUGUAGUCCCAGCUACUUGGGGGGCUGACACAGGAGAACUGCUUGAACCUGGGAGUUCCAGGCUGCGGUGAGCCAUGGUCUCACCACUGCACUCUAGCCUGGGUGACAGAGCAAGACCCUGUCUCAAUAAAGAAACAAAAAAGAAAGACAGAGAUUCAUGUAGUGAGUAGAAAACUUAAUCACAACAUGCUUAAAUGUGUUUUUACCCCAUGCUAUAAGAGAAAAAUGAAAACGUUACCUUUCUGGGAAACGUUCAAAAAUGUUAUUCAAGACCUGGUGCGUUGGCUCACACCUGUAAUCCCAACACUUUGGAAGGUCGAGGUGGGCAGAUUACAUGAGAUCCGGAGUUCAAGACCAGCGUGGGCAACGUGAUGAAACCAGGUCUUUACUAAAAAUACAAAAAUUAGCCAGCUGUGGUGGUACAUGCCUAUAAUCUCAGCUACUUGGGAGGCUGAGAAGGGAGGACUGCUGAAGCCCAGGACGCUGAGGGUGCAGUGAGCUGAGAUCCCACCACUGUACUUCAGCCUUGGUGACAGAAUAAGGCCCUGUCUCAAAAAAAAAAAAAAAUAAAAUAAUAAUAAUAAUAAUAAUAAAACAUAAAAAAUAAAGGCCAGGCGCAUUGGCUCACACUUGUAAUCCCACCACUUUGGGAGGCUGAGGGGGCAGAUCAUGAGGUGAGGAGUUUGAGAUCAGCCUCACCAACAUAGUGAAACCCCAAAUCUACUAAAAACACAAAAAUUAGCUGGCUGUGGUGGCGCGUGUCUGUAAUCCCAGCUGCUCAGGAGGCUGAGGCAGGAGAAUCACUUGAACCCCGGAGGCAGAGGUUGCAGUGAGCCAAGAUUGCACCACUGCACUCCAGUCUGGGCAACAGAGUAAAACUCCAUCUCAAAAAUAAAAAAAGUCAUUCAUGAUGAAGCCUCCCUGUUUACUUCCAUCUAUUCUGUAGUGGUCCACAGUACACUGGUAAAUUUCUUUUAAGUUUUAUUCAAAAAGUACAUGUACUGUUUGAAUCCUGAACCAGGGGCAGGGCCAUCUAUCUGCCCAUGAACACAACUUCCUUGGGGCCAGGCCAGAAGAGAAAUGUUUUGUUAGAAAGAAGGUCAAAAAAAAAAAAAAAAGGAGAAAAAGCCCACACACAAAAAAGUUACAGAAGCUACACUACCCAUACAGAGAAAGAUGCAGUUCUUUGUAAAAGCAACCUAUCAGUGGCUCAUGCCUGUAAUCCCAGCACUUUGGGAGGCAGAGAUGGGUGGGUCACCUGAGGUCAGGAGUUCAAGACCAGCCUGGCCAACAUGGUGAAACCCCGUCUCUACCAAAAAUACAAAAAUUAUUCAAGCAUGGUGGUGGGUACCUGUAAUCCCAGCUACUUGGGAGUCUGGGGCGGAAGAAUUGCUUGAAUCCAGGAGGCAGAGCUUGCAGCGAGCUGAGAUUGCACUACUGUACUCCAGCCUGGGUGACAGAGCAAGACUCUGUCUCAAAAACAAAAACAAAAAAAGAGAAAGCAAUAUAUCAAGAUGGUAAUGAAGCAUUUUCUAAGAUUUUCGCAUGUUCAUUAAGUAAAAUAAUUGGUGCACGUUAUAUAGUAAACCAUUUCAUCCAUUUAAUCUUAAAUAGACAUCAUGAAUUAACUGGACAGUAACACGGUUUGUCAAAUUUAUAAACAAGUGAAUAUAUGCAAGAUUUUAUCUCUGGUUUGUUGAAUUAGACUUCCAAAUAAAAUAACAAAAGAAGAAUUUACGGCCAGGCAUGGUGGCUCACGCGUAUAAUCCCAGCACUUUGGAAGGCCAAGGAGGGUGGGUUACUGGAGGUCAGGAUUACAAAACCAGCCUGGUCAACAUGGUGAAAACCCAUCUCUACUAAAAAUACAAAAUAAGCUGGGCAUGGUGGUGUGGGCCUGUAUUCCCAGCUACUAAGGAGGCUGAGGCAGGAGAACUGCUUGAACCCGGGGAAGCAGAGGUUGCAGUGAGCCAAGAUGGCACCAUUGCAUUCCAGCCUCAGGUAACAGAGAAAAACUCUGUCUCAAAAAAAAAAAAAAAAAAAAAAAAGGACUACACAUUGGAUACAGUGUAUACUGUUUGGAUGGCAAGUACAACAAAAUCUCAGAAAUCACCACUAAAGAACUUUUCCAUGCAACAAAGAAAACAAAAAAAAAUUGUUCCCCAAAAGGUAUUGAAUUAAAAUAAAAUCAGAAAAAAAAAAAAAAAAAGGUGGGACUUUCAUGACGGGAAUGGGACUGCUGGCUUUAUAAGAAGAGGAAGAGAGACCUGAACUGACACCUUUCCUCUUUCUGCCCAUGUCCUGGCUUCGGCCACAUUACAGCAUAGCAACAAGACCCUCACCAGCUGCAGCCCUUUGACCUUGGACUUCUCAGCCUCCAAAACUGUAAGAAACACACUUAUUUUCUUUAUAAAUAAAUUUUUUAAAAAAGAAGACUCUGAGCAGUCAGGCCUGACUGGAUUUCCCCACUCAGUCUAUUCCCAUCAGCUCAUACACUUUUUUCCAAUCACAUUUCUACAUGGCUGUCCCUGCUUCACAGAACCUAAGCAUAAAAAUAGACAGGUUUUUUUUUUGAUUUUGGUAUCUUUGGGUGUUCAUUCUGGUUUUACAUGAUGCAUCAUGUAAAACUAUGAUCAAAUAAAUUUGUCAGGCUUUUCUCGAAAGGGAGGGGAGGGAGGACCCAUUCUCUCUCUCUCUUUAGAUGGGGUGUCUCACUAUGUCGUCCAGGCUGAUUUUGAACUCCUUAGGCUCAAGCGAUCCUCCCACCUCAGCAUCCCAUAGUGCUGGGAUUACAGGUGUGAGCCACCAUGCCCGACCAGAUCCAUUAUUAUUUCUGAUGAGAAUCGGCACCCUGAUAUAAAUGAACUGUGUGUGUAAAAUAAACAUGGGAUUUCAAAAACUGAGCAGGAAAAAUUCAUGUAAAAUAUCUCAAUUUUUGUAUGAAUCGUAUGUUGAAAUGAAAAUAUUGUGGAUGUACUGAAUUACUGAAAUAAACUACAUUAUGAAAAUUUUCUCCACCUGUUUGUUUUAUAUUUUAACACAUGACUACACUAGAAAAUUUAAAAUAACAGAUGGGAUUUGCGUUGGACUUCUACUGGACAGUGUUGCCCUAGAUAAAGAAAAAUUUUAGGAGCAUACAUUACUAAAACUGUCUGGAGGCAGAAAACACCCCUCUUUGUCUUUGUAAAUGGAGUGGUUGUGACUGCAUGUUAUUAUCAGUGCUGUGGCGGUGUUAGAAAGAACACAGCCCAAUCUCUCCCCAGGUCUGUGUGGGCAUCUCUAACACGUCAUCCUACCAGGCAAUAUGGUGGGCACACAGGACAGAGAAAAGAGAAUUUGUGUUUCAAUAGGGGUACUGACAAAAAAGAAACAGAAACAAAUGAACCAACACAAAAUAACUCAAAAACAAAACACAUACACAGACCAGAAUUUUAAUCGAUGAGAUGAAGGAGAGAAAAUGCCAGGAUAGAGAAGGGAAAGAUCCACUCAUUCACCUACAGACAUAUCCCUCCCCCUAUUAUCUUCUUUGGACUAAAAGUCUAGGCUGGGCCCAGUGACUCAAGCCUGUAAUCUCAGCACUUACAGAAGCUGAGGAGUCAGGGGGGAUUCCUUGAGCCCAAAAGUUCAAGACCAGACUGGGAAACAGCAUAGUGAGAACCUGUUUCCAGUUUUUAGAAAAUUAAAAAAUAGGCAAUGGCUCACGGUUGUAAUGUCAGCAUUUUGGGAGGCUGAGGUGGGCAGAUCACGAGGUCAGGAGAUUGAGACCAUCCUGGCUAACACGAUGAAACCUCACUUCUACUUAAAAAAAAAAAAAAAAAAAUACAAAAAAUUAGCCAGGCAUGGUGGCGGGCACCUGUAGUCCCAGCUACUCAGGAGGCUGAGGCAGGAGAAUGGUGUGAACCUGGCAGGCAGAGCUUGCAGUGAGCUGAGAUCAUGCGACUGCACUCCAGCCUGGGCAAGACAGCGAGACUCCUUCUGCAAAAAAAAAAAAGAAAAAAGAAAAAAUAGGCCAAAAUAGGCCAGGCACAGUGGUGGCUCAAGUCUGUAAUCACAGCACUUUGGAAGGAAAGCCAGCGGGUCACCUCAGAUGAGUUCGAGACCAGCCUGGCCAACAUGGUGAAACCCCGUCUCUACUAAAAAUACAAAAAUUAGCCAGGCGUGGUGGCUCACGCCUGUAGUCCCGGCUACUCGGGUGGCUGAGGCAGGAGAAUGAUGUGAACCCAGGAGGCAGAGGUUGCAGUGAGCUGAGAUCACAGAACUGCACUCCAGCCUGGCGACAGAGCAAGAUUGUGUCUCAAAAAAGAGGAAAAUUUAAAAAACAAUAAUAAUAAAAACAUCUAGACUUGCCCUCAAAACACACCUUUAAGGCCAAGUGAAGCCCUUUGUGUAAACAGUAUUGUUCUUGGCUUAACUGGGUGGGAUUUAAAAUAUUAACAGUUCUUUUCUCCUACAUAUUAAACAGUGCAUGUUCAUUAUAUAGACAAUACACUCUCUAGAGAGCCCAGCACCAAAACAGACACACAAGGCACCACAGUGGCUUUGCAAGGACAAUACCUCCCAUAUGCUGAACACUAUACAAUUAAACAAUUGUCCCAGUUUGGCAUAGCAUUCUGGACCAUUGAGGCGAAUUAAGCCAAAAGGCCCUUUACCUCAUAAACUAUGUAAGAUUAGAUUUUAUAAAAUAAUUCUUGGCCAGGUGCAGCAGCUCAUGUCUGUAAUCCCAGGCCGAGGAGGGCAGAUCACGAGGUCAGGAAUUUGAGAACAGCCUCACCAACAUGGUGAAACCCCGUCUCUACUAAAAAUACAUAAAAAUUAGCCGGGCAUGGUGGCACGCACCUAUCAUCCCAGCAACUCAGGAGGCUGAGAGGCAGAAGAAUCGCUUGAACCUGGGAGGCAGAGGUUGCAGUGAGCUGAAAUCGCACCACUGCACUCCAGCCUGGGCGACAGAGUGAGACUCCAUCUAAAUAAAUAAACAAAUAAUAAAA
This 13692-nucleotide long non-coding RNA is filed under the name Homo sapiens (human). RNAcentral describes it as "HSALNT0287985". The record is from RNAcentral. Lineage: Eukaryota; Metazoa; Chordata; Mammalia; Primates; Hominidae.